RNAcentral lists this ribosomal RNA (252 nucleotides) under uncultured prokaryote. Its description in RNAcentral is "partial 16S ribosomal RNA". It matches the Rfam family "Bacterial small subunit ribosomal RNA", at positions 523 to 774 of the family's 1533-position model. The record is from RNAcentral.
AUACGAAGGGGGCUAGCGUUGCUCGGAAUCACUGGGCGUAAAGCGCACGUAGGCGGAUUGCUAAGUCAGGGGUGAAAUCCUGGAGCUCAACUCCAGAACUGCCUUUGAUACUGGCGAUCUCGAGUCCGGGAGAGGUGAGUGGAACUGCGAGUGUAGAGGUGAAGUUCGUAGAUAUUCGCAAGAACACCAGUGGCGAAGGCGGCUCACUGGCCCGGUACUGACGCUGAGGUGCGAAAGCGUGGGGAGCAAACA